GACGAACGCUGGCGGCGUGCUUAACACAUGCAAGUCGAGCGGAGCGGCGAACGGGUGAGUAACGCGUGAGUAACUGCCCCCCUCUCUGGGAUAACAGUUGGAAACGGCUGCUAAUACCGGAUAGUGGGGGAUGACUCGCGUCCUAUCGGCUUGUUGGUGGGGUAGUGGCCUACCAAGGCGACGACGGGUAGCCGGCCUGAGAGGGCGACCGGCCACAUUGGGCUGGGAUACGGCCCAAACUCCUACGGGAGGCAGCAGUGGGGAAUAGUGCACAAUGGGGGAAAGCCUGAUGCAGCAACGCCGCGUGCGGGAUGACGGCCUUAGGUUUGUAAAGCGCUUUAAGUUGGGAGGCAGUAAUUUAAUACCUUGCUGUUUUGACGGUACCAACAGAAUAAGCACCGGCUAACUUCGUGCCAGCAGCCGCGGUAAUAC
Molecule: ribosomal RNA, 432 nt
Filed under: uncultured bacterium
Lineage: Bacteria
Description: partial 16S ribosomal RNA
Rfam family: Bacterial small subunit ribosomal RNA
Source: RNAcentral